Limulus polyphemus (Atlantic horseshoe crab) is the source of this 279-nucleotide long non-coding RNA. RefSeq lists it as uncharacterized. The transcript has 3 exons. Lineage: Eukaryota; Metazoa; Arthropoda; Merostomata; Xiphosura; Limulidae. The record is from RefSeq and is a predicted model, not a curated record.
UAAAGUAAAAUGAUUGUAUAGUUGAAAAAAUUGACAAAAACCUUCACCAAAAGUUUUAACCAUGGUAUAUUUAGUGUUCACCUUCGUAAAGUGAACUUGUGGAUGGGUAAAUCAAGUAAUUUACACUUUCACACCUACAGUCUUGCUUAGUUCCAACAGGUUAUAUUUCAUGUUAAAAAUUGUGCUAGUCAACAAUGCUUUUCUCCAUAUUCCUAUUACUUAUUCCGUUAUGGAUUUCAAAUCUGAGGUGUACUAUUUUUUUUGUCUGACACAAGUCAA